AUUGAACGCUGGCGGCAGGCCUAACACAUGCAAGUCGAGCGGUUGACGGGAGCUUGCUCCCUGAUUCAGCGGCGGACGGGUGAGUAAUGCCUAGGAAUCAGCCUAUUAGUGGGGGACGACGUUUCGAAAGGAACGCUAAUACCGCAUACGUCCUACGGGAGAAAGCAGGGGACCUUCGGGCCUUGCGCUAAUAGAUGAGCCUAGGUCGGAUUAGCUUGUUGGUGAGGUAAUGGCUCACCAAGGCGACGAUCCGUAACUGGUCUGAGAGGAUGGUCAGUCACACUGGAACUGAGACACGGUCCAGACUCCUACGGGAGGCAGCAGUGGGGAAUAUUGGACAAUGGGCGAAAGCCUGAUCCAGCCAUGCCGCGUGUGUGAAGAAGGUCUUCGGAUUGUAAAGCACUUUAAGUUGGGAGGAAGGGUUGUAGAUUAAUACUCUGCAAUUUUGACGUUACCGACAGAAUAAGCACCGGCUAACUCUGUGCCAGCCGCCGCGGUAA
Molecule: ribosomal RNA, 500 nt
Filed under: uncultured bacterium
Lineage: Bacteria
Description: partial 16S ribosomal RNA
Rfam family: Bacterial small subunit ribosomal RNA
Source: RNAcentral